AGAUUUUUUAUGGAUGUACCUUUGUACAUUGAGGUCAAGUUAAAUGUUGAGCUAUUUGAUGUUUUUAGAUGAAUUUGAUAUUUUUGAACUGUCUAAUGGUCACAGUUGUGCUUCUUUAAAUGUUGCGUGGAACCUAAAUGAAAAUGCUGUACUUCAGUGAGUUUGAUUCAGCCGCUAGUCGGUUACAGACUUUUGAAGCUGUUUAAAAUGUGGCAUAUAGUGCAGCAAGAGGGAAUUCAACAAUUGAACAAUUUAUAUUCCAGGUAAGGCUGUCUGUUAACUCAAAAGAUUAUCUCAAAGUGAACAGUAAUAAAACAUUCAUUAAAACAAUUUUACAAGAACAAAAACAAUUAUAAGACUGUGCUGUGAAUAAAAAACAUAAGUAAAAUGAGGUUAAUUGAGAACACACUAUUUAACCAGCUCAAUGUGAUUUUGUCCACCGUAAAGAUGAAGCACCGGUCUAGGACUAAACAAAAAACUCAAUGGAGUUUUCUAUUGAACUCGAUUUUUUUAGACUAGGCUUAGUCCAUGUCUGUGAAACCGGCCCUAUAUGUUUGGGUUGUUAAUGGUGCAUUUAACACUUUUUCAGACAAUGCACAUAAUUAUUUUUAGUAAUAAUGUACACUAAAAUGACAAAAAGAUAAUUUGAGUUAAAUGAUUAACUCUUGACAGCCCUAAUUCCAGGAUACUUUGUAUUGAUAAUACAAUUGAACUAUUUUGCACAUCUUUAAUGGCCAACAAAGACACUUCCAAUUUGACAUGAUAUAACUUGAAUCAAUUCAAUCUAAUUCAGUGAGUCCUACUACAUUCCAAUUCCUGUGAGAAAGGUCAGGGCCACUCCAUGUUUUAUUUUUUAUACUCAGGGUAAACUAUACAUCCCCCAAGAAUGUGUCUGCAGUAUAAAUUAUUUAUUACAUUGUUCAUUGUGAAAGAUUUAUAAUGGUUUAUAUUGAAGAGAAGUUUUGUCAGCUCAUUUGUAUUAUUUAUUCAAAUCUGAUCAUAUGUGUAUGAAAUAUGUGAUACUGUAAGGGCAGUGUGUAUUUAUGGUUAUUUAAUUUGCUCUACAUAUUAUUUUACUUUAUUAAAACUUCU
This is a long non-coding RNA of Esox lucius (northern pike), 1092 nucleotides long. The record is from Ensembl. Lineage: Eukaryota; Metazoa; Chordata; Actinopteri; Esociformes; Esocidae.